RNAcentral lists this ribosomal RNA (251 nucleotides) under uncultured prokaryote. RNAcentral's name for it is "partial 16S ribosomal RNA". It matches the Rfam family "Bacterial small subunit ribosomal RNA", at positions 524 to 774 of the family's 1533-position model. The record is from RNAcentral.
UACGGAGGGUGCAAGCGUUAUCCGGAUUCACUGGGUUUAAAGGGUGCGUAGGAGGGCAGGUAAGUCAGUGGUGAAAUCUCCGGGCUUAACCCGGAAACUGCCGUUGAUACUAUUUGUCUUGAAUACCGUGGAGGUGAGCGGAAUAUGUCAUGUAGCGGUGAAAUGCUUAGAUAUGACAUAGAACACCAAUUGCGAAGGCAGCUCACUACACGGUCAUUGACUCUGAGGCACGAAAGCGUGGGGAGCAAACA